UAAAGUGUGGAUCAGUCACACUGCUCAUCAUAAGGAUGUGUCUGGCAUGUGGACUGUGUGUAUUCUACAUUUUAUAUUUAGGUGCAGAAUCUGUGACGGUUCAACAAAAGACCUCGAUACUGUUCGCCAAAGAAACGGACACCGCAACCAUCGAGUGCAGCCACGAUGACAAAAGCUAUUACACCACGCUGUGGUAUCAGCAGAAGAGGGACAGCACGGCUAUGGAUCUGAUUGGCUUCAGUGUUAGCACUAAUAAACCAAACUAUGAAGACGGGUUUGAUAAAAGGUUCAAACUGAGCAAAGACGGAGAUCUGAAAGGAGAACUGACCAUCUCGAAUCUUCUUCAGUCUGAUUCUGCAGUGUAUUACUGUGCUGUAAGCAAGCACAGUGCUGCAUGAUCAUAUGAGUGCUGUAUUAAAACCUCACCUCACCAAACACACAGCAGCACACACACUCAGGUAUGAUGAAAGAGGUGUUUAUGAGCCCCAUUUUACAGA
Astyanax mexicanus (Mexican tetra) is the source of this 497-nucleotide non-coding RNA. The record is from the annotation of a RefSeq genome assembly. Lineage: Eukaryota; Metazoa; Chordata; Actinopteri; Characiformes; Acestrorhamphidae.